RNAcentral lists this long non-coding RNA (921 nucleotides) under Linum usitatissimum (flax). Its description in RNAcentral is "long non-coding RNA (LUSI_LNC002836)". Lineage: Eukaryota; Viridiplantae; Streptophyta; Magnoliopsida; Malpighiales; Linaceae. The record is from RNAcentral.
GGCUUUAGUCUUCUGUUAUGAAUAUGAUCCUUUGGGCACAUAUGGUUGACUUACUUUUGCAGCCCAUAGGCCCAGCCUUUUGCUUACUGUGCUGGACCUGGAUUAACUUCGAGCAUUCAGCUCAUCAUAUGCUGAGCCGGGCUUCUGAUGGGCUUAUGGUUCACCGAUAUAAUUUUAUAAAGUUGGAUUGGACUCAAAGGUAUCAGGUUCGAGUCCAACAAGUAACAUUUAUUUUGUGGCAAUUAUCAUGAACUCUAAUUUACACAUUAGCAUUACUUCAAAAAACUUGUCAAUCUGAUCACAUUUACACAUGAACUAUACUCCAUUAAUACAACGUUGGAAAAUCGAUAUAAUACCAUUCCAAAUUUCUGUAUAGACAGAUACGAUAGACUUGGCCUUCCACAAGGAAACAAAAAAGAACAAAUCGGCUAAAUAUUAAACUUUGCACUUUUAAAAACCGUUGGUUUUUCUCAUCUCAAAAGUUAGCUAAAAAGCGAGGUGGCUAUUGCAUCCGUCUCCCGACGAAACAAAUCCCCUGCUGGCCUCAAUUAGUAAACAUCAGGAAGCAUGUAUCCCAUUAAUCCGGCGGAAGAAAGACUGAGCAUCGGCUGCCGACGAGGGUAAGUGGAAGAAGAGGAAUAAGGAGAGUAGUAGUAAUCACCAUCAUCAUCAUCGUGGAGGCGAACAGGCCAAGUCGGAGUAAGGAGAAUCUCUAGACACGAAGAAAGACAGAACAAGAAGGUUGUGAUGGGUAUCAUUUUUGCUCUUAAUUUGCUUUCUUCUUAUAUUGCACUAUAAAUAUACAAACAUUCAUUCAUUAUAAUUCAUUGUCUUUAUUUUCCUGCAGUUAAUUAUAGUUGUUUUAUCCACGCACGCACGCCACCCUCCUCGAUUGCUUCUUUCCCUCUGACCCAAGCAACC